AGCCAUUUCUCCAGCCCAUAUAUUAAAUAUUUUUAAACAAUAAAUUGAAAUUCAGUCACUUCAUUAAGAGUAAAUACGAAGAUGAGAGGUGAGAGUUGAAAAAGAAUUUUGUAGGUAAUCUAAGCCCAAUUUAAACAGUUAUCUAAAAAUGUGAUAUAAAAUGUAUUUAACCACAUUCACUUAAAAUUGCAAGUAAGGCAUUAAUAAAGUCCAUUCCUUAACACUUUACAGGCCUAACACUACACGAUCAGUUGGUGGAAAGCUGGCUUACAAUACAGCCAGUGUUUACAGCUGAAAUGCCUACUCUGUUGAAGCACUUGCCCUUUGUGCCCUUUGCCCCACUAAUAUUAGAAUGGGAUUAAAAUUGCCCAGGACAGUCCUGGCUUUCUGUCCUUCUGCUCCUCCACCCCCAGCUGCCUCAGAGGUGUGGAAAUUGGACCCUUAACAACACUGGUUGCCUAUCUGCACCACGGUAGGCAGUAGCACAAAUGGCUCAGAGCAACUCAUGUAGAACUGGACCUCGAGCCUAGGCCAAACAAUACAGUUGUAGGAAAUACUUGUAUCUGUAUUUUUAAGAUCUGGGAAAGGGAGAAAAUGUCAUAAAAUCAGAAUGGGAAUUGACUCAGGAACAAACAAACAAGUAUAAAACCUUUUAGUAUAUUUUAGCUACAAUAAAGUAAAGCAAAAUUAAACCCUCUGAUGGGGCUGAAGCUAUAAAAUAAUUUCAAAGCAAGUUACUGUGAGACCUAACAGUGCAGUAUCAUAGUGGCCAUAGCCAUUGUCCAUGUGUAUGUAGGAACGCAGAAUUCACUUUUCCAAGCUCGAGUUGGAGAUCAUGUAAUUGUUUUCUUAGUCUUUCAUCCUAAGGGAACAGUGAAAGAUUUUUCAUGUUCUUACAAUGUUUUUUUUUUUUACUAUAGGCAAGGAAAGUUUGAAAUCCUCAGUUUCUUGAACUCUGAUAAUAAAGAAAACUACCCAACUUGUUUUAUGCCAUAGUUGAACAAGGAUAGCAAAACAGACAGCUCUACUGAUUUUACUUGUAUACAAUGCAGAGUUACAGAUGCUAACUACAGUUCGUUGGUUUAUUCAAACAAACCCCAGAUAGUUACUGCAGGACAAGGUGAAGUUUAUCACACACUAAAGGGUGCCCUAAAGGGCAGUAAGUCUCCUUACCCAACACUUCUACUUAGGCAUCAUCUUGAUGAAUCAAGAAAACUUUCUUUUGGAUUCACUGUUUAUACUGGGGAAACUAAAAAUAACUAUACUCAUAGUUUGAUGAAUAGUAUAUUUAAAAUGUUAGGUUUAAAUGAUAAUGAAACUUAAAAGAGAGGCAUACCAAAUUUUUAAUGGUGGUUAUUUAUGG
This 1363-nucleotide long non-coding RNA is filed under the name Mus musculus (house mouse). Its description in RNAcentral is "long non-coding RNA chr18:76266570-76267933". Lineage: Eukaryota; Metazoa; Chordata; Mammalia; Rodentia; Muridae. The record is from RNAcentral.